UUACGGGAGGCAGCAGUGAGGAAUAUUGGUCAAUGGAGGCAACUCUGAACCAGCCAUGCCGCGUGAAGGAUGAAGGUCCUCUGGAUUGUAAACUUCUUUUAUAGAAGAAGAAACCCACGUUUUCUAAUGUGGUUGACGGUACUCUAUGAAUAAGCACCGGCUAACUCCGUGCCAGCAGCCGCGGUAAUACGGAGGGUGCAAGCGUUAUCCGGAUUCACUGGGUUUAAAGGGAGCGUAGGUGGGUUGGUAAGUCAGUGGUGAAAUCUCCGAGCUUAACUUGGAAACUGCCAUUGAUACUACCAGUCUUGAAUACUGUGGAGGUAAGCGGAAUAUGUCAUGUAGCGGUGAAAUGCUUAGAUAUGACAUAGAACACCGAUAGCGAAGGCAGCUUACUACGCAGUUAUUGACACUGAGGCUCGAAAGCGUGGGGAUCAAACAGGAUUAGAUACCCCGGUAGC
Molecule: ribosomal RNA, 458 nt
Filed under: uncultured bacterium
Lineage: Bacteria
Description: bacterial SSU rRNA
Rfam family: Bacterial small subunit ribosomal RNA
Source: RNAcentral